This 433-nucleotide ribosomal RNA is filed under the name uncultured bacterium. Its description in RNAcentral is "partial 16S ribosomal RNA". It matches the Rfam family "Bacterial small subunit ribosomal RNA", at positions 29 to 507 of the family's 1533-position model. The record is from RNAcentral.
AACGAACGCUGGCGGCAGGCCUAACACAUGCAAGUCGAGCGAGGACUUCGGUCCUAGCGGCGGACGGGUGAGUAACGCGUGGGAACGUGCCCUUUGCUUCGGAAUAGCCCUGGGAAACUGGGAUUAAUACCGGAUGAGCCCUUUGGGGGAAAGAUUUAUCGGCGAAGGAUCGGCCCGCGUUGGAUUAGGUAGUUGGUGGGGUAAUGGCCUACCAAGCCGACGAUCCAUAGCUGGUUUGAGAGGAUGAUCAGCCACACUGGGACUGAGACACGGCCCAGACUCCUACGGGAAGCAGCAGUGGGGAAUCUUAGACAAUGGGGGAAACCCUGAUCUAGCCAUGCCGCGUGAGCGAUGAAGGCCUUAGGGUUGUAAAGCUCUUUCAGCUGGGAAGAUAAUGACGGUACCAGCAGAAGAAGCCCCGGCUAACUCCGUG